Non-coding RNA from Pelobates cultripes (western spadefoot toad), 234 nucleotides. The record is from the annotation of a GenBank genome assembly. NCBI's taxonomy places the organism in Eukaryota, Metazoa, Chordata, Amphibia, Anura, Pelobatidae.
GGCAAAGUUAGAAUUUAAUUUACAUUCAUUCCUACUUUGGUAAAAGGGACAUGCAUCACUUUGAGACAAUUGUAUUAUUCAAAAACGUUAUCUUUGAAUGAGACGGUUGCCUCACAUUGCAGGCUAUAAAAAAGCAGGUAAAUGAUUUCUAAUCUAAUCUAAUCUGGGUCUAAUUGAUCUUGAACUUUUCUGGGGGGUUUACAAUCUGGGGAUUUAUAUGAUCGGGGUUCCUAG